RNAcentral lists this long non-coding RNA (433 nucleotides) under Lepidothrix coronata (blue-crowned manakin). RNAcentral's name for it is "lncRNA (ENSLCOG00000012021.1)". The record is from RNAcentral. Lineage: Eukaryota; Metazoa; Chordata; Aves; Passeriformes; Pipridae.
GGGGGAAGGAGGGGAAGAUGGCGGAGUGAGGGGUGGAGGAGGCGGAGGGGCCGGGCCGCCCGCGGCCCCGCGGCCUCGGCCGCGCUCAGCUCCCAGAAGUGAAUGUGGAUUGAUUAAAAAUAAUGCUCUCCAGAUCUGUUUUUCCACAUCUUCAUAACAAGAAUAAGACUUUCCCAACAGUCUGAGCAUGGAUGGUCAACGAAAUGAUCAGCAGAAGUAUUUGAGUGCCUCAGAGAGAAAGAGAUGGUGACAUGUACUGUAUUUCCAUUUUCAUGAUCUUCUUGCUGCUUCUAACAUAGGAGCUGAAAAUUGUCAGUGGAAGACUAAUUCUGAACUUGAUCAACCAAAUGGUUAAGGUAAUCAGAAUAAGAUAAGUACAGACAGGGAAAAGAGAGGAAGAGGUUAGUUAUCCUCAUGUUCUUGUAUGUGAGAA